CCGUAGCUCAGCUGGAUAGAGUACCUGACUACGAAUCAGGUGGUCGGAGGUUCGAAUCCUCCCGGG
RNAcentral lists this transfer RNA (66 nucleotides) under Halomonas alimentaria. It matches the Rfam family "tRNA", at positions 5 to 66 of the family's 71-position model. Rfam says of the family: Transfer RNA (tRNA) molecules are approximately 80 nucleotides in length. Their secondary structure includes four short double-helical elements and three loops (D, anti-codon, and T loops). RNAcentral also lists the same sequence under 1 other name. The record is from RNAcentral. Lineage: Bacteria; Pseudomonadati; Pseudomonadota; Gammaproteobacteria; Oceanospirillales; Halomonadaceae.